This 64-nucleotide microRNA precursor is filed under the name Drosophila virilis. RNAcentral's name for it is "microRNA dvi-mir-9541a precursor". The record is from miRBase by way of RNAcentral. Lineage: Eukaryota; Metazoa; Arthropoda; Insecta; Diptera; Drosophilidae.
UAGCAUAGUAGAUCUCUUAACCGAGCAUAAAAAGAAAACCGGUUUAGGAGAACUACUGUGCUUA